UGAUCGCAGGCAGAAAUGCGUGAGGAAAGUCGGAGCACCACAGAGCAGGGUGCUAGGUAACGCCUAGUGAGAGCAAUCUUAAGGAUAGUGCAACAGAGAGAUACCGCCGUUUUAUACGGUAAGGGUGGAAAGGCGAGGUAAGAGCUCACCAGCGCAUAGGUGACUAUGUGGCUAUGUAAACCCCACCUGGUGCAAGGCCAAGUUAGGAAUUAGGAGUGUAGCUCGCACUCCCCAGAUGGUAGGCCGCUUGAAUCUAUUGGUGACAAUAGGUCUAGAAAGAUGAUCAUCUAAUACAGAACUCCGCUUAUAGCUGUGCUUA
This 319-nucleotide RNase P RNA is filed under the name Peptostreptococcus russellii. RNAcentral describes it as "Bacterial RNase P class A". It matches the Rfam family "Bacterial RNase P class A". From Rfam's summary of the family: Ribonuclease P (RNase P) is a ubiquitous endoribonuclease, found in archaea, bacteria and eukarya as well as chloroplasts and mitochondria. The record is from RNAcentral. Lineage: Bacteria; Bacillati; Bacillota; Clostridia; Peptostreptococcales; Peptostreptococcaceae.